CUCGUAGUUGGAUCAAGAGUCGGACAGUGCACGGUGGCCCUGUUUGCCAUUUUGGGUCCUGCUCAAGUUGGCGGCAGCGGAAUCACCCCGUGCAUCAAACUGUCCGCUCUAGCAGGCCGAAACGGUUCCCUGUGAGUAGGCCCCUUCAUUGGGGUCGAAAGCGCCAACGCAUCAACCAUAUGCAUACGGGACGUCGGCCAAAGUUACUGUGAACAAACCAGCGUGUCCAAAGCAGGCCUUCGCCUGAAUGUUCGAGCAUGGAAUAACAAGGGAUCGAUUCUCUCGGUUCUUUUUGUUGGUUUUUAACCCGAGAAGGAGUAAUUCAGUCCACGGUGUCUGAGUUGGGUUCCCCUGGGCUUCGGCUUAGGCCCCAAUUAGGCCGUGUGCUUACGGGAUCAAUAGGGACUGACGGGGUCGUACGUACUUCCGCGUCAGAGGUGAAAUUCUUAGAUCGCGGGAAGACGAACUUCUGCGAAAGCAUUCGACAAGAAUGUCUUCAUUAAUCAAGAACGAGAGUGUGGGGAUCGAAGAUGAUCAGAUACCGUCGUAGUCCACUACUGUAAACAAUGCCGUCUCAGGAUUGAGAAGUGAACUGAAUGACUUUCACAGCACUAACCCCUGAAACGAGAAAUCAAAGAUUAUGGGUUCAGGGGGGAGUACAUUCGCAAGGCUGAAACUUAAAGGAAUUGACGGAAUGACACCACAAGGCGUGGAGUAUGCGGCUUAAUUUGACUCAACACGGGGAAUUUUACUAGGUCAGGACAAUGUAAGGAUUGACAGAUUGAGAGCUCUUUCUCGAUCCAUUGUGUGGUGGUGCAUGGCCGCUCCUGGUUGGUGGAGUGAUUUGUCUGGUUGAUUCCGUUAACGAACGAGAUCUCGACCCUUAAA
RNAcentral lists this ribosomal RNA (888 nucleotides) under uncultured euglenozoan. RNAcentral's name for it is "SSU rRNA". It matches the Rfam family "Eukaryotic small subunit ribosomal RNA", at positions 627 to 1355 of the family's 1831-position model. The record is from RNAcentral. Lineage: Eukaryota; Euglenozoa.